Molecule: ribosomal RNA, 116 nt
Filed under: Treponema sp.
Lineage: Bacteria; Pseudomonadati; Spirochaetota; Spirochaetia; Treponematales; Treponemataceae
Source: RNAcentral
CCUGGUGAUAAUGGUGGAGGUGAUAUACCCGUUCCCAUACCGAACACGGAAGUCAAGCCCUCUUACGCCGAUGAUACUACCCCUCUGAGGGGUGGGAAAGUAGGUCAUUGCCAGGC